RNAcentral lists this small nucleolar RNA (290 nucleotides) under Ophiocordyceps sinensis. RNAcentral's name for it is "Fungal small nucleolar RNA U3". It matches the Rfam family "Fungal small nucleolar RNA U3". From Rfam's summary of the family: Small nucleolar RNAs (snoRNAs) are involved in the processing and modification of rRNA in the nucleolus. Lineage: Eukaryota; Fungi; Ascomycota; Sordariomycetes; Hypocreales; Ophiocordycipitaceae. The record is from Rfam by way of RNAcentral. RNAcentral also lists the same sequence under 1 other name.
GACACCCUCUUCAGGAGAAUCAUUUCUAUAGUAUUCGAUCUCCUCUUGGUUCCCUACAAGAGCCACAGCACCCGCCCUGGUUGAUGAGUGUAUACCCCCGACACCCCAGAGUGAAAACUUUGGUCCUCUCGCUCUGUCCGCAAGGAUGGCGGUGCUGCCUCGUGCGGUGCUGUAUAGAGAGAUGCUCCGUUCCCAUCCUCUGGGUGUGGAACUCUUGAUGAUCUCGUCCCCGUUCGCAGUCAGCCUUAGGGCGUGUGGGCGGGGAGGGUGUCGGUGGAAGUCUGACAGGU